GUUAAGCGACUAAGCGUACACGGUGGAUGCCCUGGCAGUCAGAGGCGAUGAAGGACGUGCUAAUCUGCGAUAAGCGUCGGUAAGGUGAUAUGAACCGUUAUAACCGGCGAUUUCCGAAUGGGGAAACCCAGUGUGUUUCGACACACUAUCAUUAACUGAAUCCAUAGGUUAAUGAGGCGAACCGGGGGAACUGAAACAUCUAAGUACCCCGAGGAAAAGAAAUCAACCGAGAUUCCCCCAGUAGCGGCGAGCGAACGGGGAGCAGCCCAGAGCCUGAAUCAGUGUGUGUGUUAGUGGAAGCGUCUGGAAAGGCGCGCGAUACAGGGUGACAGCCCCGUACACAAAAAUGCACAUGCUGUGAGCUCGAUGAGUAGGGCGGGACACGUGGUAUCCUGUCUGAAUAUGGGGGGACCAUCCUCCAAGGCUAAAUACUCCUGACUGACCGAUAGUGAACCAGUACCGUGAGGGAAAGGCGAAAAGAACCCCGGCGAGGGGAGUGAAAAAGAACCUGAAACCGUGUACGUACAAGCAGUGGGAGCCUCUUUUAUGGGGUGACUGCGUACCUUUUGUAUAAUGGGUCAGCGACUUAUAUUCUGUAGCAAGGUUAACCGAAUAGGGGAGCCGAAGGGAAACCGAGUCUUAACUGGGCGUUAAGUUGCAGGGUAUAGACCCGAAACCCGGUGAUCUAGCCAUGGGCAGGUUGAAGGUUGGGUAACACUAACUGGAGGACCGAACCGACUAAUGUUGAAAAAUUAGCGGAUGACUUGUGGCUGGGGGUGAAAGGCCAAUCAAACCGGGAGAUAGCUGGUUCUCCCCGAAAGCUAUUUAGGUAGCGCCUCGUGAAUUCAUCUCCGGGGGUAGAGCACUGUUUCGGCAAGGGGGUCAUCCCGACUUACCAACCCGAUGCAAACUGCGAAUACCGGAGAAUGUUAUCACGGGAGACACACGGCGGGUGCUAACGUCCGUCGUGAAGAGGGAAACAACCCAGACCGCCAGCUAAGGUCCCAAAGUCAUGGUUAAGUGGGAAACGAUGUGGGAAGGCCCAGACAGCCAGGAUGUUGGCUUAGAAGCAGCCAUCAUUUAAAGAAAGCGUAAUAGCUCACUGGUCGAGUCGGCCUGCGCGGAAGAUGUAACGGGGCUAAACCAUGCACCGAAGCUGCGGCAGCGACGCUUAUGCGUUGUUGGGUAGGGGAGCGUUCUGUAAGCCUGUGAAGGUGUGCUGUGAGGCAUGCUGGAGGUAUCAGAAGUGCGAAUGCUGACAUAAGUAACGAUAAAGCGGGUGAAAAGCCCGCUCGCCGGAAGACCAAGGGUUCCUGUCCAACGUUAAUCGGGGCAGGGUGAGUCGACCCCUAAGGCGAGGCCGAAAGGCGUAGUCGAUGGGAAACAGGUUAAUAUUCCUGUACUUGGUGUUACUGCGAAGGGGGGACGGAGAAGGCUAUGUUGGCCGGGCGACGGUUGUCCCGGUUUAAGCGUGUAGGCUGGUUUUCCAGGCAAAUCCGGAAAAUCAAGGCUGAGGCGUGAUGACGAGGCACUACGGUGCUGAAGCAACAAAUGCCCUGCUUCCAGGAAAAGCCUCUAAGCAUCAGGUAACAUCAAAUCGUACCCCAAACCGACACAGGUGGUCAGGUAGAGAAUACCAAGGCGCUUGAGAGAACUCGGGUGAAGGAACUAGGCAAAAUGGUGCCGUAACUUCGGGAGAAGGCACGCUGAUAUGUAGGUGAAGCGACUUGCUCGUGGAGUUGAAAUCAGUCGAAGAUACCAGCUGGCUGCAACUGUUUAUUAAAAACACAGCACUGUGCAAACACGAAAGUGGACGUAUACGGUGUGACGCCUGCCCGGUGCCGGAAGGUUAAUUGAUGGGGUUAGCGCAAGCGAAGCUCUUGAUCGAAGCCCCGGUAAAC
RNAcentral lists this ribosomal RNA (1901 nucleotides) under Escherichia coli. Its description in RNAcentral is "partial 23S ribosomal RNA". It matches the Rfam family "Bacterial large subunit ribosomal RNA", at positions 1 to 1928 of the family's 2925-position model. Lineage: Bacteria; Pseudomonadati; Pseudomonadota; Gammaproteobacteria; Enterobacterales; Enterobacteriaceae. The record is from RNAcentral.